AUGACUCACCACUACUGCCCCAUAUUCAUAGUCUCGGCAAAUGAGCGAGGAGAGCCCCAUGUGGGAUUACAGACUUGCUGGGAAUGGAUGAGAAACCUUCUGCUCUGCUGGAGUUUGAGAAAGAAGAUGGUAGGAGUGGGCUGGGAUCUUAAAGAAUUGAGAAGAUUAAAGAAGCGAAGUCAGGUUAUAGGUCAAGGAAUGGUGCAUGAUGCUUACCUCAUGAAGGGAAGGAGAAAAGAGGAAGGGAAUGCAAGUCCAGAACCAGGUGCUGGAGGCCAAAUUUCUGCUUCUGCAGUGAAGGCCAGAAGAAGAAAGAAAAGUAGAAAAGUUCUUUAAAGAGUCUGACCCCAGGUGAACCAGCUGCCUUUAAACAGAUUUCUCAGAAGUCUCAUAUCGCAAAUCUACAUUUUGUUGGCUGCAGCAUGAUCACAUAUAAGCGAGGCAGAGAAGUCAGACUUUUAUUCUUUGUGUCAACCUGCCUACCUAAAAAUUAGGGUUCCUAUAGUAAGAAGAAAGAAGAUAACUGAUAGCCUCCACCUAUUUCUGGAACAAUGUAAUGGUUGCUGUGUAACAUAUAACAUGGAUAUAUUCUAUUGUGCAGAAGUCUGAUUGAUACAGAUGCUUUUGCUCCUCCAUGGCUAUAACAACUCUUUGACCUAGCACUGAACUCAGCACCUCACCAUAGGCCUUUAUCUUUACAAAAGGGCCGAGCUGGCGCAUCACACUCUAUCUAGUGCCUCUACGUUCUCCCCAGGAUCAAGCAAUGGGAAUUUAUAUGUACAGUGCAUCAAAUGUGAUUCAGCUACCCUGAUGACUAACCAUUUUAGGCUGAACUGAGAGCACUACAGCUCUCUAAGUUUCCUGAAUCUUAUCCCAAUUAUAUUUCGUUUAAUAACACUCAGUGAAAUAUCUGGUGGCAGGGGAAAUGAAACUACAUGCUUUUUAUGGGAUCAUUCAUCAAGAACUAAUUGAAGCGUUCAUACAGUUUAGUGCUGAUAAAACAGUGUAACAAUAAACAAUAACAAAAUUCACUGGAGAAGGAUUUG
RNAcentral lists this long non-coding RNA (1046 nucleotides) under Vulpes vulpes (red fox). RNAcentral's name for it is "lncRNA (ENSVVUG00000015018.1)". The record is from RNAcentral. Lineage: Eukaryota; Metazoa; Chordata; Mammalia; Carnivora; Canidae.